AAGCUCACUUCAGCAGCACAUAUACUGAAAUGGGAAUGAUACAGAGAAGAUUAGCAUGGCCCCUGAACAAGGAUGAUAUGCAAAUUCAUGAAUUGUUCCAUAUUUUA
Molecule: small nuclear RNA, 107 nt
Filed under: Microcebus murinus (gray mouse lemur)
Lineage: Eukaryota; Metazoa; Chordata; Mammalia; Primates; Cheirogaleidae
Source: RNAcentral